This 60-nucleotide transfer RNA is filed under the name Pulex irritans. RNAcentral describes it as "tRNA-Cys". Lineage: Eukaryota; Metazoa; Arthropoda; Insecta; Siphonaptera; Pulicidae. The record is from RNAcentral.
GCCUUAUAGUCAAUAAUGAUACUAAAUUGCAAAUUUAGAGGAGUUAAUUUAACUAAGGCU